RNAcentral lists this ribosomal RNA (274 nucleotides) under uncultured bacterium. Its description in RNAcentral is "partial 16S ribosomal RNA". It matches the Rfam family "Bacterial small subunit ribosomal RNA", at positions 523 to 796 of the family's 1533-position model. The record is from RNAcentral.
AUACGGAGGGUGCAAGCGUUAAUCGGAAUUACUGGGCGUAAAGCGUACGUAGGCGGUCCGUUAAGUUAGAUGUGAAAGCCCCGGGCUUAACCUGGGAACUGUAUUUAAAACUGGCGGACUAGAGUUGAGUAGAGGGGAGUGGAAUUUCAGGUGUAGCGGUGAAAUGCGUAGAGAUCUGAAGGAACACCAGUGGCGAAGGCGACUCCCUGGACUCGAACUGACGCUGAGGUACGAAAGCGUGGGUAGCAAACGGGAUUAGAAACCCCUGUAGUCC